This 393-nucleotide ribosomal RNA is filed under the name Salmonella enterica. RNAcentral's name for it is "partial 23S ribosomal RNA". It matches the Rfam family "Bacterial large subunit ribosomal RNA", at positions 161 to 592 of the family's 2925-position model. The record is from RNAcentral. Lineage: Bacteria; Pseudomonadati; Pseudomonadota; Gammaproteobacteria; Enterobacterales; Enterobacteriaceae.
AAUCCAUAGGUUAAUGAGGCGAACCGGGGGAACUGAAACAUCUAAGUACCCCGAGGAAAAGAAAUCAACCGAGAUUCCCCCAGUAGCGGCGAGCGAACGGGGAGGAGCCCAGAGCCUGAAUCAGCAUGUGUGUUAGUGGAAGCGUCUGGAAAGGCGCGCGAUACAGGGUGACAGCCCCGUACACAAAAGCGCAUGUGCUGUGAGCUCGAUGAGUAGGGCGGGACACGUGGUAUCCUGUCUGAAUAUGGGGGGACCAUCCUCCAAGGCUAAAUACUCCUGACUGACCGAUAGUGAACCAGUACCGUGAGGGAAAGGCGAAAAGAACCCCGGCGAGGGGAGUGAAAAAGAACCUGAAACCGUGUACGUACAAGCAGUGGGAGCACCCUUUGGGGU